GCCUCUAUCCCGGAAGUUGUGCCCCGCGCCCGUUGGCGUGCGGCGCUGCUGUGCUGUCGGUGGUUUGCGCUGUCGGGCCGGCUGGCGAGCUCCUCACCAUGCCUUUGGCCAGAGAUUUACUACACCCUUCCUUGGAAGAGGAAAAGAAAAAACAUAAGAAGAAACGGCUAGUUCAAAGUCCAAAUUCUUAUUUUAUGGAUGUAAAAUGUCCAGGUUGCUACAAGAUUACCACAGUUUUCAGCCAUGCUCAGACAGUGGUUCUCUGUGUAGGUUGUUCAACAGUUUUGUGCCAGCCUACAGGAGGAAAGGCCAGACUCACAGAAGGUUGCUCAUUUAGAAGAAAGCAACACUAAUGAUCUGUACAACUUCCUGAAUUUGUUUUUUCACAGAAAGCCUUAUCAGAAGUUCAGUAAUUGUAAUGAAUAUACCAAGAUAAUGUGAUUACGCUUGACUUUGUAAGGUGCACAGCACUGAGCUCCUAUUUUGAUGGCAAUUUUUCAAUAAAGUUUUGAUUAUGGACAAGUC
Octodon degus (degu) is the source of this 525-nucleotide long non-coding RNA. RefSeq lists it as uncharacterized. The record is from RefSeq and is a predicted model, not a curated record. The transcript has 4 exons. Lineage: Eukaryota; Metazoa; Chordata; Mammalia; Rodentia; Octodontidae.